AUGGCGGCACUCCCCACCGACCCCAUCAGCCUGAUGGACCCCUACGCCACCGCCCCAGCCUCCCCACGCCGCGACUGGGUCUUGCUCCACCCGUCGGCGCGUAUCUCCGAGCUCCACAACGCAACCACCGUCGUGUCCAGGACGAGGGACGACCAGCCCGUCGUGGCGUCCUUCUGGCUCGUCGACCCGCCGGGCGUCUCCUACUUCUCCGUCCACUGCCCCGGCCUCAAAGUUUCAGACCCGGACGACUUCGCCCACGACGAUCCCGAGCCCGGCUUCAUCGGCGCCCACGUCGUCUGUGCGGAGGCAGCGUUCCUUCUCUUCGACGUGACCUUCAACGCCCCUGACGGCCCCUUCCCGGAGUCCACCCACCACUUCGUCUACAGAGCCGGCCCCGGGGAGCCAGCACUGCACCUGCUCCCGGAACCCGAUAUUCCAGCAUACGAAGCCCGGCCGCAAUUCGGCCUCUUGCCCUGGGGCGAGCACUAUGUCGUGGCCUUCCUACGGUGGAACAGGACCAUGGGUGAUCAUAUGUUUGAUGUCCAUGUCUUCUCGUCCCAGACACAGGCAUGGAGUAAGAAGGUUGGGUUGAUGGCUAUAUCAGAGUCUAAUGAGAGAUAUUUUAGUCGGCAUGAUGCCUGCAGGCAGAUCAGGAUUGGACGCUCACUGGGCUGGGUUGAUCUCUUGCGUGGUAUUCUUCUACUUCGCAGACCGUUCGAUGAACAUCCUACGAUCGAAUACAUCCCGUUUCCUGUGUCAAGGCCGCCUUGCUCCCAACUAUCAGACGACGACGACGAGCUAGGAGGAUCUGACGCUCCUCAAUAUUUUCGUGAUGUGGCCUGCUGUGAUGAUUUGAUCAAGUUUGUCGACGUAGAAUACCAUGACCCUUCCAGUUGCAAGCCCUGCUGUGGCAGAGAUAAAAGUUGGAAAGCCACCAUAUGGAACAGGAAUCUUUCUUCGGGAGAUUGGCUCCGGGGAUUCACGGUUGAUGUUGCCGACAUCUCCCUUGACCAAAGUUAUUCUGCUUUACUGCCGGAGCUGGGGGACGACGAGACAGAAAAGUUACACCUGAAGAAAUUGAUUUUCUACACCCCCACCCUCAGCAUCUGCAAUGAUGAUCUUCUUUACGUCAUGUCCAAGGUGAAUGAUGAAGACGACAAGGCCUGGGUCAUCACAGUUGACAUGAAACAUGCGGUUGUGCAAGCAAUAGCCCCGUUUUCUGCUGGCGACAUCGACCUCCUCCCAAUGUACCGUCCAUGCUCCUUCCCCAAGUACCUCAACAUGACCCCAGGCGUAGAUAUAACCAACAAAGGGUACAAGGGCUUUACAUGGAUGGAUGUGGAGAAAUGUAUUGAGGAAUUUCUGUGGACUCGAGACUGGCUUAGGGAACUUGGUCAAUGCUUGGAACAUGAAACGUCAAUUUACAUCGAUUGUAGCUCACUAGUCUGUCCAGCGUCAUCUCUACGUUUGAUCAUUCCAGUAGUGGUAGAAUACGCUUCCUCUGUUGGUGAAGGCGAAGCUAAAGCUGCCACCGAAGCUGUGGAUGUUUGCUCACGGUAUAUACACGAGGAUAUAUGCUUGUGCAAUUCUAUGUUGAAUUGA
RNAcentral lists this ribosomal RNA (1602 nucleotides) under Triticum aestivum (bread wheat). RNAcentral's name for it is "partial small subunit ribosomal RNA". The record is from RNAcentral. Lineage: Eukaryota; Viridiplantae; Streptophyta; Magnoliopsida; Poales; Poaceae.